CAGACUGCCUACCACGGCUGACGAGCUCCACCUGCCCGGGUUUAUUGUUCGGAGUUUGCUCUCCUAGGUGAAUUGCCUACCACGGCUAACGAACCUCACCUGCCCGGGUUUGUAAUCGGAGUUUGCUCUCCUAGAUGAAUUGCUUUCGCUAACGACCUCCACCUGCCCGGGUUUGUAAUCGGAGUUUGCUCUCUUAGAUGAACUGCUUUCGCUAACGACCUCCACCUGCCCGGGUUUAUUGUUCGGAGUUUGCUCUCCUAGGUGUAUUACCUAUGACGGCUCACGAGCCCAACCUGCCCGGGUUUAUUGUUCGGAGUUUGCUCUCCUAGGUGUAUUACCUAUGACGGCUCACGAGCCCAACCUGCCCGGGUUUAUUGUUCGGAGUUUGCUCUCCUAGGUGUAUUACCUAUGACGGCUCACGAGCCCAACCUGCCCGGGUUUAUUGUUCGGAGUUUGCUCUCCUAGGUGAACUGCUCACGCUAACGACCUCCACCUGCCCGGUUUUGUAAUCGGAGUUUGCUCUCCUAGAUGAACUGCUUUCGCUAACGACCUCCACCUGCCCGGGUUUAUUGUUCGGAGUUUGCUCUCCUAGGUGUAUUACCUAUGACGGCUCACGAGCCCAACCUGCCCGGGUUUAUUGUUCGGAGUUUGCUCUCCUAGGUGUAUUACCUAUGACGGCUCACGAGCCCAACCUGCCCGGGUUUAUUGUUCGGAGUUUGCUCUCCUAGGUGUAUUACCUAUGACGGCUCACGAGCCCAACCUGCCCGGGUUUAUUGUUCGGAGUUUGCUCUCCUAGGUGAAUUGCCUACCACGGCUAACGAACCUCACCUGCCCGGGUUUGUUGUUCGGAGUUUGCUCUCCUAGGCAGAUUGCCUACCACGGCUAACGAGCCCCACCUGCCCGGCGUUGUAGCCGAAAGAUCUCCGGCACCUCCGUUGGGGUCCCGAUGGACGCCGAGGCGCCCUGCCGGGAGCCCUCCAGUCCUGCCAUGCUCGCCAGGGAGACCUUGGGCUCGCUGGCGCUCCACCGCCCCGCCGAUUCGAAUAGGGCGGAUGCAAGAACUCUUAAAACUACCAGACUGGAUUAUAAAAUUAAUCAUAAAUGCCGUGAAGGCGCCGGUCACCGCGUUUAUCGGUUCUUGGAUGAAGGACCGAUGGGCCUCGGGGACGCGCACAAGCAUCAUAAGGAAUCCUCGCCGCGGCUUCCGGCGCAGCAUCCUUUUCCCUUUUCUUUCCUACUUCC
This is a long non-coding RNA of Eriocheir sinensis (Chinese mitten crab), 1242 nucleotides long. RefSeq lists it as uncharacterized. The record is from RefSeq and is a predicted model, not a curated record. Lineage: Eukaryota; Metazoa; Arthropoda; Malacostraca; Decapoda; Varunidae. The transcript is spliced from 5 exons.